AGGUCAGGGAUCGAGCAAGACUCUGUUUCUUUGAAGAAUUCCCCCAGGAGCUGCGUGUCAUGCCAGUGUGCUCUAAGGGGACAGAAAACGUCUUCUGUUUCCAGGUGAAAGGGAAAGAUGGGGAGGGGUAUACUAGAAGGAGACUCACUAGAAGGAGACCCACUAAAAGGAGAGUGAUUUUUCAAGGAAGUUCACUGUAGAAAUGACACCCUUAAAAGCAGGUGUGUUUUCUUGGAUGAAUUUAAGGGGAGCUUCCAAAGCCAGGAGAGCAAAGAGAGCAGCAAGUUUCCUGAGAAGGGAGGGCAGAAAGAGUCCUCAGUGGAGAGGAAAGACUGCAGGUGGAGGAUCUUAGUGCCCCGACCAGAGAUGGAACCCCUGCCCCACUGCAGUGGAAGCACAGAGUCCUAACCACUGGACCACCAGGGAAUUCCCACAAACAUCUGAUUAAAAAAAAUUUUUUUUUAAGAUUUUUUGAUGUGGACCACUGUCUUUAUUGAAUUUGUUACAAUAUUGCUUUCGUUUUAUGUUUUGGUUUUUUGCGGGGGCCACAAGGCAUGUGAGAUCUUAGCUCCCCAAUCAGGGAUCAAACCCGCACCCCGUGCAUUGGAAGGCGAAGUCUUAACCACCGGACCACCAGGGAAGUCCCUGUUUUGUUUUUAAUGUGACGUGAACUUAAGAUUUUUUUUCCUUCUCCUUCAGAAGAUAUCAGAGGAUAUCUGCAUUGUGGGGUGUGGAGAUGUUAAAAUCCUACUGUUUAUCCUUGCAACUCCUGUUAUUUUCUCCCAUCCCAAGCAUGAAUAUUUACCUCCAACAAAGCCAAAGUUGA
Molecule: long non-coding RNA, 826 nt
Organism: Physeter macrocephalus (sperm whale)
Lineage: Eukaryota; Metazoa; Chordata; Mammalia; Artiodactyla; Physeteridae
Exons: 3
Source: RefSeq, a predicted model, not a curated record